This is a long non-coding RNA of Sapajus apella (tufted capuchin), 332 nucleotides long. RefSeq lists it as uncharacterized. The transcript has 3 exons. The record is from RefSeq and is a predicted model, not a curated record. Lineage: Eukaryota; Metazoa; Chordata; Mammalia; Primates; Cebidae.
UUUACAUUUAGGUAUGUUUUUUCAGUGGCUGAUAACAGGUUUUCCUUUCCAUAUUUAGUGUAUCCUUCAGGAGCUCUUGCAAGGCAGGCCUGGUGGUGACUAAUUACCUCAGCAUUUGCUUGUCUGAAAAUGACAUUAUUUCCCCUUCUCUUUUUAAGCUUAGUUUGGCCAGAUAUGAUAUUCCUGGUUAGAAAUCCUUAUCUUUAACAAUGUUGAAUAUUGGCCCCCAAUAUCUUCUGGCUUGAAAGAGGAAUCAUCUAGCUGGAUCUUUUUCUAGUGAUUUUUUUUCCCCAGAAAACAAUAUGUAAGGGAGGAGGAAAGGAACAGGAAAG